ACGAUGAACCACUUCGGUGGGGAUUAGUGGCGAACGGGUGAGUAACACGUGGGCAAUCUGCCCUGCACUCUGGGACAAGCCCUGGAAACGGGGUCUAAUACCGGAUACUGACCCGCUUGGGCAUCCAAGCGGUUCGAAAGCUCCGGCGGUGCAGGAUGAGCCCGCGGCCUAUCAGCUAGUUGGUGAGGUAAUGGCUCACCAAGGCGACGACGGGUAGCCGGCCUGAGAGGGCGACCGGCCACACUGGGACUGAGACACGGCCCAGACUCCUACGGGAGGCAGCAGUGGGGAAUAUUGCACAAUGGGCGAAAGCCUGAUGCAGCGACGCCGCGUGAGGGAUGACGGCCUUCGGGUUGUAAACCUCUUUCAGCAGGGAAGAAGCGAAAGUGACGGUACCUGCAGAAGAAGCGCCGGCUAACUACGUGCCAGCAGCCGCGGUAAUACGUAGGGCGCAAGCGUUGUCCGGAAUUAUUGGGCGUAAAGAGCUCGUAGGCGGCUUGUCACGUCGGUUGUGAAAGCCCGGGGCUUAACCCCGGGUCUGCAGUCGAUACGGGCAGGCUAGAGUUCGGUAGGGGAGAUCGGAAUUCCUGGUGUAGCGGUGAAAUGCGCAGAUAUCAGGAGGAACACCGGUGGCGAAGGCGGAUCUCUGGGCCGAUACUGACGCUGAGGAGCGAAAGCGUGGGGAGCGAACAGGAUUAGAUACCCUGGUAGUCCACGCCGUAAACGGUGGGCACUAGGUGUGGGCAACAUUCCACGUUGUCCGUGCCGCAGCUA
This 774-nucleotide ribosomal RNA is filed under the name bacterium. Its description in RNAcentral is "bacterial SSU rRNA". It matches the Rfam family "Bacterial small subunit ribosomal RNA", at positions 66 to 854 of the family's 1533-position model. The record is from RNAcentral.